RNAcentral lists this unclassified non-coding RNA (349 nucleotides) under rhizosphere metagenome. Its description in RNAcentral is "partial ribosomal RNA internal transcribed spacer region". The record is from RNAcentral.
GUAGGUGAACCUGCGGAAGGAUCAUUAACACGUAUCCAACGUUAAACAACCCUGUGAACUUUCAGACGCUCUCGUAGCCCAGGAGGAACAGCAAUCCCGGUAAAUCAAUUGGCGGAAAGUUUUUGAUUCGAGACCUCUGUCCAAAAGGUGUCAAGUUACGAUCGAGCUAGGAGCAGUGGCAUGGUUUCCCUGAGUGGGAUAACGCAUCGCGGUUGCUAGAGGUCGAUCACCGGCCGGCAGACAUGUCACAGGGCUUUAUGCCCCCCAUUCACACCUUGCCUUCUUUAGCCCCGCGGAAACGCCGGGACCAAAAAACGAACAACUGUUAACAAUGGAUAUCUUGGUUCUC